UGAGAGAGAAAUGGAGGAUAUCUUUUCAAACGCGCAGUAGGGCACGCGCAGGUUUAGUGAGGUGACAGCUGGCGUUAGCUUUGAGCAGUCACCAGUCACAGUCAGUCGUUGAGACCGAGCGCGAUUGUGUUGUGAUAGUUGGGUUGCAGUUAUUAGCGCGGUUGCACAACACGGUUGGGUGAGGCUUGUUUUGGUUAAUCGCUGUUGACUUCAACCUGCCUGUGGUCUGGCGAUCUUACCCGACGACAUGGAAAACGUUCAACUAAAUUUCACAGUGGGGUCAUGAGAUUCAAGGCUUCUUUGUACUUACAGCGUUGUCCGAUCAUCUCAAGGAUCUUGCCGGGAUGCUGCCUUCUGUUCCUUACUUACUUCCUGAAACUACUCAUCUGUUGUCCCUCCAUGUGAAGGACAUCUUCAGAGAUCUUCAAUCAGUGACCUGGAAGCUAGCAGCUAUUCAUCUUGCUGUAUCAGCUAUUCUUCCUUCAUUAUUUCCUGAGUAUUUCUUAAUGUUACUCUUAUUUUAUGCUUACUUCGUGAAAAGAUUUAAUGACAAAUCUAUAAAUAAUUAUAAAAUUAAUCGAAUAAAACAGUAUAAUUGAUACAUGAAAACUUGUCAGAUUGGUAUUGAAAUUAUUCAUAUUUACUAUUAAAUAACGAAAGGAAAAAGCUAUUUAAACUAAGCUUUUGUAUGUACUAAAAGGUUGUCAGUUACAGCUAACAACCUCAUAAGCAAUACAGUGAUGUUUCAAAGGGUUAUUUUAUAUUUGUUUUCUGCAUCUCCAAGGGGUUUCUGCCCAGUAUGUGUAUCUGGGCUUAUUUUAAAACUAUCUGAUGACAAACUGGUUUGUAUUAGGAAUGUUAACCUUUUAGCUGUUUCACAAAGAUUUAUUGUCAUUCCUGUUUUUGUGGAAUACUCUUUCAUGCCAACAUCGUUGUGCAAUAAAUUUGCUGUAGUGCUUUUAUUUUUAUAUAUUACAUAUGUAUAUACCUAUUUGUAGAUAGUGAAAUUGUCAAUACAAAUAAAAUUUCGUGUUUUUUAUUUACAUUCAGUAAAAAUUUAUAAAAUUGUGAACAGCCAUAGAGUUAAAGUUUACUGCCUUUUUUCAUUUAGGCUGUUAGAAAACAUUUUAGAAACCUGUUAAUUUAAGAUGGGCCAAUAUCAAGAGCUGAACAUAUUUAAAAAAAUACACAAAGGCGAUUGAAUAAAAAUAUUAUGUAACAACUUUGAUAGCAUCAGCUAGAGUUUUAAUUAAUAUAGAAAAAGCCACCAGUAGCUAAUUUUCUGAAUGAAUACUGUAUUACACCACCAACAGGAUUAAUAUUUGUUGCAGGUGAACUGGGUAUGGGUGGAUGGGCCAGCAGGAACGCAUGCUGAAUAGAGCUGUGCACAAUCAACAUGGCAAAAAAACGGCUGUUAACAAUUAAGCAAACAAACAUGUUUAACUUUUUCUUUUAGGUUAAAUUUGUACUGUUUUAUUA
This is a long non-coding RNA of Homalodisca vitripennis (glassy-winged sharpshooter), 1479 nucleotides long. RefSeq lists it as uncharacterized. The transcript is spliced from 2 exons. NCBI's taxonomy places the organism in Eukaryota, Metazoa, Arthropoda, Insecta, Hemiptera, Cicadellidae. The record is from RefSeq and is a predicted model, not a curated record.